GGAGCCCUACUCUAGACCUCGCCGAGUUGGCACUUGAUUUCUCAAAUUUUCUUUUCGAGCUCUUCCUCCUGACAUAAUUUUUCAGGCCUAGGGGAGUAGCCUAGAGUUGAACCUUCAUAGGAGGAAGAGGGCCAUUAUUGAUCCUCCCUCAGACUCUAAUGGGAGGAUGAUUGGGGUGCAGAAGCAGGAGCAAAGUGGAGGUACCGUUGGAGACAAGCUCCGAACUCUGUAAGUGAGAUCGUCAGCUACACU
Molecule: long non-coding RNA, 252 nt
Filed under: Elaeis guineensis (African oil palm)
Lineage: Eukaryota; Viridiplantae; Streptophyta; Magnoliopsida; Arecales; Arecaceae
Description: long non-coding RNA (EGUI_LNC023100)
Source: RNAcentral